This is a long non-coding RNA of Lacerta agilis (Sand lizard), 965 nucleotides long. RefSeq lists it as uncharacterized. The transcript is spliced from 3 exons. NCBI's taxonomy places the organism in Eukaryota, Metazoa, Chordata, Lepidosauria, Squamata, Lacertidae. The record is from RefSeq and is a predicted model, not a curated record.
GAAGGAGGAAGAUGGACGGUUGACCUGGUCAGGAUGUCUCCCACAACCGCUGUCUGUUCCCCUCCAGGACCCUCAGAGAGAUCUGGAAGGAUGACAGAGUCUGAUUCUGCAAACCUAGCAAGGAUGGAAGGAGGAAGAUGGACGGUUGACCUGGUCAGGCUGUCUCCCACAACCUCUGACUGUUCUCUCUCAGGACCCUCAGAGAGAUCUGCAGGUGAUGAACAGGACAGUCAUCGUUCUCGGGUGUCAUCAGAAAGAACCAAGCAUGAAGUCAAAGGAAAGACCUUUCAAGAUCAACAAGAAACAAAACCACAAGAGAACAACCAAGAAGAGAUCGGGAGGAAUAAUGGUUUUAUUACGCAGACUGAUAACGGCCAUUGAAUCCCAGUCCAGAAAAAAACAUCACAAGGGGAAGAGAUCAAAUGAUAGCUCUUUAUCUGGCAAAACAUUCAAAGGUAAAUCUAGCCUCAACUCACACUGCAUAAUUCACACAGAGGAGAAACUGUGUAAAUGCUUGGUGUGUGGAAAGAGUUGCAGUGACAGCUCAGGCCUAAAAUCACAUGAAAGAAUUCACGCAGGACAGGAAUCCUAUGAAUGUGGAAAGAGUUUCAAUCGCCACUCAAGCCUUAAAACGCAUCAGGAAGUCCACAGCGAGGAGAAACCACAUAGAUGCUUUGAGUGUGGAAAGAGAUUCAGUCGCAACAGAAGCCUUACAGAACACCAAAAAAUUCACACAGGGGAGAAAGCAUAUAAAUGUCUGGAGUGUGGAAGGAGAUUUGCACAUGGAUCUAGCCUUACUUAUCAUAGAAGAACUCACAUGGGAUAAACCAUAUGUAUACUUGGAAUGUGGGAACAGAUUUGGUCAGAUUUCACAACUCAUUUUGCGUAAGUGAAUCAAGAGGAGAAAAAUAUUUAGAUUCUUGUAAUGAGGAAGGCACUUUAAUUUAAUUAGAACACCACUGUUG